AGUGAACGCUGGCGGUAGGCCUAACACAUGCAAGUCGAACGGCAGCACAGUAAGAGCUUGCUCUUACGGGUGGCGAGUGGCGGACGGGUGAGGAAUACAUCGGAAUCUACUUUUUCGUGGGGGAUAACGUAGGGAAACUUACGCUAAUACCGCAUACGACCUACGGGUGAAAGCAGGGGAUCUUCGGACCUUGCGCGAUUGAAUGAGCCGAUGUCGGAUUAGCUAGUUGGCGGGGUAAAGGCCCACCAAGGCGACGAUCCGUAGCUGGUCUGAGAGGAUGAUCAGCCACACUGGAGCUGAGACGCGGUCCAGACUCCUACGGGAGGCAGCAGUGGGGAAUAUUGGACAAUGGGCGCAAGCCUGAUCCAGCCAUACCGCGUGGGUGAAGAAGGCCUUCGGGUUGUAAAGCCCUUUUGUUGGGAAAGAAAAGCAGCAGGUUAAUACCCCGCUGUUCUGACGGUACCCAAAGAAUAAGCACCGGCUAACUUCGUG
This 492-nucleotide ribosomal RNA is filed under the name uncultured bacterium. RNAcentral describes it as "partial 16S ribosomal RNA". It matches the Rfam family "Bacterial small subunit ribosomal RNA", at positions 29 to 507 of the family's 1533-position model. The record is from RNAcentral.